GAGAGGAGAGAGAGCCUGGCCAGCGCCGGUUUCUUUCACACCUAUUUACAUGGACACCUUGGCCAAUAGGAAUCACUUCCAGCAGAAGACUAGGCGACCAGGAAGAGCCUCUGCCGCCCGCGGGGAGCGGGCAGCGCCCGCCGGUGUGCGCGUUGGGAAGGUAUGAGCGGAGCGGCGCGUGGAGCCGAAUGGCAGGCGACCACUCACUCUCUGAGCUAUCUGCGGCGCCGGUGGUGUUUGACAUGGAAAUUGCUCGGCUGGGGUAUUCUGUUUCCUCUGCAUUGUGUCGGGGAGACCAGGAGGGCUGGGGACCUUGGUAAAGGCAAGAAGAGAAGUGUUGUGGACAUGUUUAGCAAAACAGCUGACAAAGGACGCUGCUUAGUAUGGAAGUCAGGAGUUCCCCGGUGCGAUUUUCUCCAGGAUCAGAGCACAUUUGCACAAACACAUGAAGAGGAGAAAGAAACUCCUAGCAAUUUUUCUCUAGCACUCUCUUCUCAGUAUGCCUUGCUCAUCUUCAGAAGGCACUGUCACUGCCUGUGACACCAUGGCUGAUAGACUGCCUGGGGCACACCCACUUUCCCAUCCACUUGUCCAGAUUCAACUUUAGAUCCGAGCGCACUUGCACACCAUCUUCCUGAGGUCACAGGAGUUUCUCAUUCUCGGUUCUGAACUCUUGUGCUUUUGUGUUUUACUCAGAUCUGGAAUACUCCAAAAGCUCAGACCUUGGAACUCACCCCAUAGACCAGGCAACCCGGAACCAUUCAGGAAUGGUGCACACACUUCACCCCAGAGCCCUAGCAUAGCAGAACAGGACCAGCCAUCUCAAAGUCAUGAAGAAAUAAUGUCACCGGUUGGGCAUGGUGGUGCACACCUUUAAUCCCAGCACUUGAGAGGCAGAGGCAUGUGGAGUCUGUGAAUUCAAGGCUAGCCUGGUCUAUGGAAUGAGUUCUAGGACAGCCAAGGAUACACAAAGAAACCGUGUCUCCAAAAAGACACAAAAUAAUAGUAGUAAAUAAUAUUAUUAAUAAUAAUAAUACAUUGAGUGUGCUUGAAGUAAUAUUUACUUCCUUUAAUAAUCCUAUUACUGAAUCCCCUAAUGAAUAUUUACUUAACAGAUCCUGUGUGCGAAGUGCUGUGUUCCUGAGCUAAACCUGACAGUCCCUGCUCUCACAAAGACUUGUGGUCCCAGCAGUAAAAGCACAGUCAGGCUAGUUCGUGAGGACAUCCUCAAGAUGGACCAUAGAACCUGCAUCAGACCAAAAGCGCAUCACCGCUGGCCCCUACCACCACCAACGCCAUUUGCUUGUUGAUUCCUGAGUUUGACGUAAUGAACGUAUCGACAAUUCGUAGCUGAUGCUGUCUAUCCAUCUCACAUGUCUCCUGGGUUGUCUGGGCUCUUCCACUCCAGUGAGUCUCCGCUCUGUUUUGUCUAAUGUGUCUCAGCCAAAGAGGAGCGAACAAAAUAUUAGGUAACUCACACAGCAUCUGCCAAACAAAUAUGUGUUGAUGGAUCUGAUGGUAAAAAUUUUAAGGAAGUAUUUCUUGAAAGCUGUGCACCAUUUCUUGAAUGACUUUGGGUUGGCUGGCCGUCUUUCCUACGAUGUCAUUGCUCUGGUCUGGGCUUCAGGACCUAUGCUUUAGGACUACUCCGUGCCAUGACUGUGGCUCGUCCCUUACAAGUGUGUGAGCUUGCUCAGUUCCAGAAUAGGCAAACUCAAUGGCGUCCCUCUAAACCUUGCCGUAGUCUUUUUCCCGAAGCCUAAGUAUUUUGGGGGGUGGGGGGACUGUUGAUAGCUACAACCUCAGGUCCAUGUCUGUCUCUGCUCCAGAGCCUUUCCAUGAUGGCUGGGUGCACAGCGAGGAGGGUUCCGUAGCCUCGGGAUCAGUAUCUUUCUGAAUCCCGUCUCUGCACAGCUCUCCUGUGGCUGGCUUGAGCGCACUGCCUCCUGACUGUUCCAGGUUUUAAAAGGAUCUGCACACACCCCCCACAUUCAACUUUAUUUUCUCUCCCACCUUCCUCUACUCUUUAGCUUGUAAUUAGCCACUUCCCCCCUCACAGGUUUAAAGGCUGCUUAUUUGAAAUUCAUCAGCGAGUGACUCCCAUGAGAGUCACCCUCAAUUACAAAUUGAAGACUAAUUGUAUGGUGAUGGCCACGGCUGGAAGACGCUCGACAGUAAUCGUGUCUAAAUUAACUCUUGCCUCUGACUAAACACUAAGUUAAGGCUUUAAAAUGGGCCAUGAUUCACAGUAGCAAAUACGGCAGUUGGUGUGCCGGGGAAUGAUACUUACAUAGUAUUUUUAAAAAUUCCUUUUUAUUUUCUUUUGAACUCUGGACUACUUUUAAAAUUCACUUAAUGGAAAAAGAGCAGGUUGUUUCCUUUACCAUGAAAAUUUGUCAGGUAAAUUUAUUUUUUCUAUGAUUAUCGCUAUAUUGUGUUCUUAAGAUGAAAUUGCUGAAAAGCUUAAUGUACAAGUCUCACACGGACAUGCGGUAUUUUUAAAUGAUAUUUUGGCAAUUUUUUGAGAAUUUCAUAUGUACAUACAAUGUAUUUUGAUCAUAUUCACCCCCCAUGACUGCUUUGUAACUCCUCCUGGGUCUACCCUCUACUUCCCCUCAACUGGAUGUCCACAUAUGUACAUGUAUUUAUGUGUAUACAUGUUUGUGUGUAUGUGUGUAUGUAUAUAUGUAUGGAAUAUGUCACUGAGUCCAGUUUUUGAUGCCUAUAUACCCAGGCCUUCAUGCCAGCAAGGCAAGACCUUACCAAGUGAGUCCUUUCCCCAACCUGAUCUCCUUUAGUUUGCAUUUCUACACAGCCAUUGCCACAGCAAGCACUCGGUGACAGGCAGCAAGCUUUGGAGACCUGUUUAGAAGUUAGCUUGAGAUGGCAGGAAGACACACCAUUGUGUUCGCACAGGAGGGGAGGCCCAGCAAUAAAGGAGGCAGGGGCAGAGUAUAUAGGAACCACUGAACACAUGGCACCCCCAGACAGCAACUGAGGACCCAUCCCUUUGCAGUCAUUAUUUUCCGGACACCCCACAAAAGAUUUGAAGUAAAGGUUCCUAUGCUUGACAAAUAGUUAAGCACAAUUUGGAAGUGACAUUAGAAACAUGGUUUGGUCUUCUAUCUAGAUAAAGAGUCAGGACAAACUCCUCCUGAGCCAGGCUGGGUGGUGGUGCACACCUUUAGUCCCAGCACCUGGGAGGCAGAGGCAGGUGAAUUUGAGGCCACAUAGCAAUUCCAGGACAGCCAGGACUAUAUGGAGAUACUCUGUCUCAAAGAACCAGAGAGAGAGGAAGAGGGAGAAAGGAGAGAGAUCAAGCUAGCUCUGAUUUUAAGUAUAAAUGUAAAAGUAAUGUAAAAGUUUUCUAACAUCUUCUUUUGACCUUUUCCAAGUGCUCAAGAAAAAGGAAGCCAUGAACUGGUCUUCCCCGAAGAACAGGCGAGGACUGAGCUCAUUCUGCUUGCUGUUUCUACCGCUGGGUUGAAAGGCAAGGGCACAUCUGCCUUCCCUGGAGUGUCUGCUUACAGCACACAGUGGCUUACAACAGGCUGGCCUUAAAGACAGAUCGGGUCCUAAGUGCAAACCAAAAGGAGACAGGCAAGAGACAUUAAGAAGUAAACACUUUACCUUGUGAAGUUCAGAUUCAGGUUGGAAAUAGGUUCCCCACCCCAGGGCUCUCUCUGGUACCCUGCUUGUCCUCUCUUCCUGCUUCUCCCUCAGAUCACUUUCCUAGGUCCUGCCACUGCAGGGUGACCCUUAAAGACUGGAAAGGGAAAGAGGAGCUAGCAGAGAUGGAAGUGGAGGUCCAACCCCAGCCUUGAAAUGACUGUGACCCAUACAGAGCUGCUGAAUGGUAAAGCAGAACCUCUCCUGCCUGGGCACCUCUGCCCCAGUGCCUCAAGUGGAGCUGCCCCUGAGUGUUACGUCUGCCGCUCACUGUGCACAGAUGAUUGGAAAACUGCAGAAGAAUAAGAGUCACCCAGAACUCUACACAGAGAAGAAGUUCAAAAUACUGAUAGUUCAAUUCCCCUUCUGUCCUUUUCCAUUUUUUUUAUUGAUUUUGCAUGGAGCCCAGGCUUGACUCAAACUGUGCAGCCAAGGAUGAGUUUGAAUUUCUGAUCCUCCUUGUCUACAAGUCUAAGGCGCAGGAAUGACAGGCAUGGACCACCACAGCUAGCUUCUGUCUUUCCUUUUCAUAAACUGUAUUUUCCUCAUAGCAUAUUAGAGGCUACAGAUGUAGCUUAAGCUUAACCUUAUAAUAUGCAUUUUGUUAUAAUCAUGCAAAUUUAUAGAUAUGUUUAACAUAAUAUCAUUUCAUAUAAUGAUAUUAAUAGUUAUGUGUACACAUAUUUUUUUAAGAUGUAUUAAACGACUGGAUACAUGAUGUUUCAAUUAGUGGAACUCAGGCUAAUGCUAAUGUUACAACUAAUAUUUCAUCAAUAAAUAUUUUUAGGUGUUUAAGAUAA
Rattus norvegicus (Norway rat) is the source of this 4469-nucleotide non-coding RNA. The record is from RefSeq and is a predicted model, not a curated record. NCBI's taxonomy places the organism in Eukaryota, Metazoa, Chordata, Mammalia, Rodentia, Muridae.